Molecule: ribosomal RNA, 497 nt
Filed under: uncultured bacterium
Lineage: Bacteria
Description: partial 16S ribosomal RNA
Rfam family: Bacterial small subunit ribosomal RNA
Source: RNAcentral
GAUGAACGCUGGCGGCGUGCCUAAUACAUGCAAGUCGAGCGAACGGACGAGAAGCUUGCUUCUCUGAUGUUAGCGGCGGACGGGUGAGUAACACGUGGAUAACCUACCUAUAAGACUGGGAUAACUUCGGGAAACCGGAGCUAAUACCGGAUAAUAUUUUGAACCGCAUGGUUCAAAAGUGAAAGACGGUCUUGCUGUCACUUAUAGAUGGAUCCGCGCUGCAUUAGCUAGUUGGUAAGGUAACGGCUUACCAAGGCAACGAUGCAUAGCCGACCUGAGAGGGUGAUCGGCCACACUGGAACUGAGACACGGUCCAGACUCCUACGGGAGGCAGCAGAAGGGAAUAUUCCGCAAUGGGCGAAAGCCUGACGGAGCAACGCCGCGUGAGUGAUGAAGGUCUUCGGAUCGUAAAACUCUGUUAUUAGGGAAGAACAUAUGUGUAAGUAACUGUGCACAUCUUGACGGUACCUAAUCAGAAAGCCACGGCUAACUACGUG